GACGAACGCUGGCGGCGUGCUUAACACAUGCAAGUCGAACGAUGAAGAAAAGAAUUGAAGCUUCGGCAGAAAUUCAUUUCGGAUUAGUGGCAGACGGGUGAGUAACGCGUGAGCAACCUACCUCUUACAAAGGGAUAGCCUCGGGAAACCGGGAUUAAUACCAUAUAACAUUGCGACGAAGCAUUUCGAUGCAAUCAAAGCUACGGCGGUAAGAGAUGGGCUCGCGUCCCAUUAACCAGAUGGUGAGGUAACGGCUCACCAUAGUAACGAUGGGUAACCGGCCUGAGAGGGUGAACGGUCACACUGGAGCUGAGACACAGUCCAGACUCCUACGGGAGGCAGCAGUGGGGAAUAGUGCACAAUGGAGGGAACUCUGAUGCAGCGACGCCGCGUGAGUGAUGAAGGAAUUCGUUUCGUAAAACUCUGUUCUAUGGGAAGAAAAGGACUGUACCAUAGGAGAAAGCUCCGGCUAAAUACGUG
This 480-nucleotide ribosomal RNA is filed under the name uncultured bacterium. RNAcentral describes it as "partial 16S ribosomal RNA". It matches the Rfam family "Bacterial small subunit ribosomal RNA", at positions 28 to 507 of the family's 1533-position model. The record is from RNAcentral.